CAAAAUUACAGGCUGUCUUUUCUGUUGGAGUAUCAAUGAUAUCUGAAUCAAGUAUAGUACUAUCCCCAUUCUUAGUGAAGGAUUCUAUUUUAGAAAUUAUUUGGUUCUGCACAUUAGAUCUAGGUUUAGAUGAGAUAGGUCCCUGAUCUUCCCCUAAGCAGUCUGAUCCCUCCACACUACAUGGUCUUGUCAGCANNNNNNNNNNNNCAUCUGGAUGAUCAAUCCCUAUAUUAUUUUCCAUAACCAAACUUGGAGAAGGUUUGCCUUGUCCACGGCCAUCCUCAAUUUCAUCAGGAUUUACAUUUUGAGGAAAGGAACUUUUUAUUUGUGUAUUAUCACUUUCUCUAAUGCACCCAAGCUCUUGAUGAAUACUUCGAGACUUGGUACUGUCCACAUUCAUAGUUAAAGAAACCUGAUUUUUGUAUUUCUUAAUCCAGUCUGAGGGGCUUGAAUUCAGAUCAACACAGAGUUUGAUUCCCUCUUCUGAACUGACAUAAAACUCAAAAGAGGCAGGAACCUUUGUACAAGUUCUUAUUUUAGGAAAGGCAUUCUCUAUAGGACAGCCACCUACAUUUAUGUGUCCACAAUGAAAC
RNAcentral lists this unclassified non-coding RNA (593 nucleotides) under Hevea brasiliensis (rubber tree). Lineage: Eukaryota; Viridiplantae; Streptophyta; Magnoliopsida; Malpighiales; Euphorbiaceae. The record is from RNAcentral.